Manihot esculenta (cassava) is the source of this 1902-nucleotide long non-coding RNA. RefSeq lists it as uncharacterized. NCBI's taxonomy places the organism in Eukaryota, Viridiplantae, Streptophyta, Magnoliopsida, Malpighiales, Euphorbiaceae. The transcript has 8 exons. The record is from RefSeq and is a predicted model, not a curated record.
UGUGUUCAAGCCUUCAAGGCAUGUGUUUUAGUAUCAAACUAGUCGGUCUUUGGCCCAGUUUCGGUCUUAAUUCAUUGAUGAAACAUGACCUGUUUCAUGUUUAACGUGAAGGGCAGGAUACAAGGAGAGAGAGGAUGGUAGGGCUCGAUUCCAGGAACUCGAAAUCGAGCGCUUUGCCUGUUCGCGAUUCAACCUAGGCGGUCUAGGCUUUGUUUAUAUCUCGUAAUUGCUCACUUGGCCGUUUGCCCAUUUCUCAUACAUGUAUACUUUGUUGCGAAGUGGGAAUCUGAAUUACUGGGGAUAUAAAUAUAAAUUGGGACAGGUAUUUCUGAGUUUUGGACUGCGUUUUUUAUUUCGACGGUUAUCGUCUUCUGUGUCUUUCCUCUGAAAGCCCUAAUCUGUUGCUAUUGCUCCGUCUUUCACAAUCCACACGAAUAUAAUCUUCCAUCCGACCAUCGCAAUCAUCCUGAGCGAAUUGGACUGAUCGAACUAUAUAUAUAGAGAGAGUCGUAGGGUUGGACGGCCGGCGGCUCUGAUGUGGUGGAAGCAACUGCCUUAUUGUUUGUUCACCGCGGGAAGCCUCCGCAUCUUCAGUGCCCAAAGUGAAUGGAAGUAAAGCUCCCUCGUGAAGGUGCUGCUUUCUAUGUGUGUCUAUACAGGAACAUCCAAAAUCUGGAAUUUCUUAUAUGCAAACUUUCCUCAUCUAGGAUUGGCUCUCCAGGUGAGCAAGAUGUAGGCCUACUUAAUGAAGGUUGGCAAUAUUGCUUGGGGAGAAGACACACCCGAGCUCUAAAACUUCAGGGUCAUUUGCAAGCACAAUUAGGUGAAUGUGUCGUCUUUAAAGUUUUAGCUCUGAGUUUUAAGUUUCAUUUAGUCUUGGAAUUACAUCAUUUGGAUACCUGAAAGUCUAAUUAUGUCUCAACUUACACAAAUUGUUGAGAAAGCACAAUUCCAACAACUAGUAUUAUAUUCAUUCCUAUGUCUUUUGCUAAUAUAGAAUUAGGCAAAGGUCUCUUUUUUUUUUCAAAGGUAAGAUCCAUUAGAAUUAAAAUGGUAAAUAUAAGCGCAGGAAGUCCUUAGCCUAGAAAACAACAAGCCCAAGCUCAAACAAGUCAAACUCAACCCCACAACAGAAAAACCCUAGCGAAAGAUCCAGCAGAGAAAACGAGUAAGGAUCUUGACCCAUUAUCAAAUGACGCUUUCAUCUCCUGGGGAAACGGCGCCGGAGAGCCAGAGAAAACAGUUACAGAGCACUGCUGGAGAUCUUCCAAAGACAUGAGGACGAACAAUGGCUAGGAAGAAGGCAGAGCCCAUGCAGCUUUUCAAUCUGUUACCAAAGGCCAGUUCCCGUCCUCAAACCCAUUUUCAUAAUUUGAUAGGGAAGCAUGAUGAUGGAAGAAUCGCAUACUUGAAGCAUUGAAGGCAGGACGGAUCUUCACCCAAGAUAAAUAAAGGGGUCUGGCAUGAUCGGAUUUGGCUUGGCAGAUGGACUGCUCUUACUGCAGAUUGCAAAUGUAGUGCUGAAUUUGAGCACAGUUUUGGUUUCUUUCUCAACUAUCUUUUCGACAUUGUGUAUCAUCCUGCCUCCAAUGGUUACUGUUGUCUGCUGUGUUGCUAAAUACAAAGUGGUCCCUUUAGCAGUUCUUUAUCCACAUGAUCUGGAUGUGUAAUGCAGGUGACAGAAGCUGGAGUUGAGCUUCUUGCAUUACGCCUGCCCUCAUCUCCCAGCGUCUUCCCAUGACUCACUGCAGGAUUGGCCCCCGGUGGACGAGAUAUACCGCUUGUAAUAAAAUAGGCUAUUUUUUCGCUUCAAAAAAAUGAAGGUUAAGAAGUUCGAUUUGUGAUGUGUUUUAGUUGCAGCGAGCUAAUAGUCUAAUGCCGUUAAAGAGCAAUUAUGGAAGC